This 1546-nucleotide ribosomal RNA is filed under the name Klebsiella pneumoniae. RNAcentral's name for it is "bacterial SSU rRNA". It matches the Rfam family "Bacterial small subunit ribosomal RNA". Lineage: Bacteria; Pseudomonadati; Pseudomonadota; Gammaproteobacteria; Enterobacterales; Enterobacteriaceae. The record is from RNAcentral.
AAAUUGAAGAGUUUGAUCAUGGCUCAGAUUGAACGCUGGCGGCAGGCCUAACACAUGCAAGUCGAGCGGUAGCACAGAGAGCUUGCUCUCGGGUGACGAGCGGCGGACGGGUGAGUAAUGUCUGGGAAACUGCCUGAUGGAGGGGGAUAACUACUGGAAACGGUAGCUAAUACCGCAUAACGUCGCAAGACCAAAGUGGGGGACCUUCGGGCCUCAUGCCAUCAGAUGUGCCCAGAUGGGAUUAGCUAGUAGGUGGGGUAACGGCUCACCUAGGCGACGAUCCUAGCUGGUCUGAGAGGAUGACCAGCCACACUGGAACUGAGACACGGUCCAGACUCCUACGGGAGGCAGCAGUGGGGAAUAUUGCACAAUGGGCGCAAGCCUGAUGCAGCCAUGCCGCGUGUGUGAAGAAGGCCUUCGGGUUGUAAAGCACUUUCAGCGGGGAGGAAGGCGGUGAGGUUAAUAACCUCAUCGAUUGACGUUACCCGCAGAAGAAGCACCGGCUAACUCCGUGCCAGCAGCCGCGGUAAUACGGAGGGUGCAAGCGUUAAUCGGAAUUACUGGGCGUAAAGCGCACGCAGGCGGUCUGUCAAGUCGGAUGUGAAAUCCCCGGGCUUAACCUGGGAACUGCAUUCGAAACUGGCAGGCUAGAGUCUUGUAGAGGGGGGUAGAAUUCCAGGUGUAGCGGUGAAAUGCGUAGAGAUCUGGAGGAAUACCGGUGGCGAAGGCGGCCCCCUGGACAAAGACUGACGCUCAGGUGCGAAAGCGUGGGGAGCAAACAGGAUUAGAUACCCUGGUAGUCCACGCCGUAAACGAUGUCGAUUUGGAGGUUGUGCCCUUGAGGCGUGGCUUCCGGAGCUAACGCGUUAAAUCGACCGCCUGGGGAGUACGGCCGCAAGGUUAAAACUCAAAUGAAUUGACGGGGGCCCGCACAAGCGGUGGAGCAUGUGGUUUAAUUCGAUGCAACGCGAAGAACCUUACCUGGUCUUGACAUCCACAGAACUUUCCAGAGAUGGAUUGGUGCCUUCGGGAACUGUGAGACAGGUGCUGCAUGGCUGUCGUCAGCUCGUGUUGUGAAAUGUUGGGUUAAGUCCCGCAACGAGCGCAACCCUUAUCCUUUGUUGCCAGCGGUCCGGCCGGGAACUCAAAGGAGACUGCCAGUGAUAAACUGGAGGAAGGUGGGGAUGACGUCAAGUCAUCAUGGCCCUUACGACCGGGCUACACGUGCUACAAUGGCAUAUACAAAGAGAAGCGACCUCGCGAGAGCAAGCGGACCUCAUAAAGUAUGUCGUAGUCCGGAUUGGAGUCUGCAACUCGACUCCAUGAAGUCGGAAUCGCUAGUAAUCGUAGAUCAGAAUGCUACGGUGAAUACGUUCCCGGGCCUUGUACACACCGCCCGUCACACCAUGGGAGUGGGUUGCAAAAGAAGUAGGUAGCUUAACCUUCGGGAGGGCGCUUACCACUUUGUGAUUCAUGACUGGGGUGAAGUCGUAACAAGGUAACCGUAGGGGAACCUGCGGUUGGAUCACCUCCUUACCUUAAAGAA